RNAcentral lists this ribosomal RNA (440 nucleotides) under uncultured bacterium. Its description in RNAcentral is "bacterial SSU rRNA". It matches the Rfam family "Bacterial small subunit ribosomal RNA", at positions 338 to 794 of the family's 1533-position model. The record is from RNAcentral.
CCUACGGGUGGCAGCAGCAAGGAAUCUUCCGCAAUGGGCGCAAGCCUGACGGAGCGACGCCGCGUGGGGGAGGACGCCCUUCGGGGUGUAAACCCCUUUUCUCGGGGAAGAACCUAGACGGUACCCGAGGAAGAAGGACCGGCAAACUACGUGCCAGCAGCCGCGGUAAUACGUAGGGUCCGAGCGUUGUCCGGAGUUACUGGGCGUAAAGCGCGCGCAGGCGGUCCCGCGCGCCCGGCGUGAAAGCCCCCGGCUCAACCGGGGAGGGUCGUCGGGGACGGCGGGACUUGAGGGCGGUAGGGGCCGGUGGAAUCCCUGGUGUAGUGGUGAAAUGCGUAGAGAUCAGGGGGAACACCCGUGGCGAAGGCGGCCGGCUGGGCCGACCCUGACGCUGAGGCGCGAAGGCGUGGGGAGCGAACGGGAUUAGAUACCCCAGUAGU